Molecule: ribosomal RNA, 373 nt
Filed under: uncultured organism
Description: partial 16S ribosomal RNA
Rfam family: Bacterial small subunit ribosomal RNA
Source: RNAcentral
GGAGGGUGCAAGCGUUGUUCGGAAUUAUUGGGCGUAAAGAGCGUGUAGGCGGUUCGGUAAGUCAGAUGUGAAAGCCCUGGGCUCAACCCAGGAAGUGCAUUUGAAACUACCAGACUUGAGUACGGGAGAGGAGGGGGGAAUUCCCGGUGUAGAGGUGAAAUUCGUAGAUAUCGGGAGGAAUACCAGUGGCGAAGGCGCCCUCUGGACCGAUACUGACGCUGAGACGCGAAAGCGUGGGGAGCAAACAGGAUUAGAUACCCUGGUGGUCCACGCCGUAAACGAUGAGCACUAGGUGUAGCGGGUAUUGACCCCCCUGCUGUGCCCGUAGCUAACGCAUUAAGUGCUCCGCCUGGGGACUACGGUCGCAAGACUA